Molecule: long non-coding RNA, 523 nt
Filed under: Pongo abelii (Sumatran orangutan)
Lineage: Eukaryota; Metazoa; Chordata; Mammalia; Primates; Hominidae
Description: lincRNA
Source: RNAcentral
AUUAAAUGUAAAAUGGCGGAAACAUUCCUUUUGGGCAAAUCACUUUUCUCGUUUUAAAUGAGUUCUAUUUAGAAACAAAACAAAUGAAAUGGUGGCAAUGUCAAUUACAAGGAUGAUAAGGCUUUAUCUGAUCACAUCUUCAAGGUUUUAUGCCUUUUCCUUCGUGUCCUGUCCUUCCCUCCUCCACUCCCCACUCCUGUUUCUCUGUAAGUCAGUUUUAACAAGGGGAAAAACAAAAACCUUGCAAGGGUAUAUCAAGGGUGAGAAAAUAUUACGAUGGACCUGCAUUUCUUUAUUAAUGAAACACCACCUGGAACACAGCUGUGACUUGAUGAACAAGUGAAAUAUUCUUUGGUGUGGUGAGGGGAAAACAAAUUUCUCAAAGGACACGCACCAUGGUGUAUGAGAGGACACUGGAGCCCAGCCAGCAUCUGACAUGCUGAAUUCAAAGUGCAGGUGAAAGUAGGACAACUGAUUCACAAGCUGGGAUGCCUGUGUUGUUGUUUGCCAGUGUGGGUGUGUG